CUCAUUUUAACUUAUUGCACCAGUUCAGCAGUGCGGCUGAAAAGAACAGACUACAAAUAUUUCAUUGAAAUUUUUAGGUUAUUAGAAAACAUAAGCAAACUUAUUAUUUAUUAGUAAUAUAUCUAUAUUAAUUAGUUUUUAGUAUCAUGCCAUCGUCAGUAGGACACACAAUUUUCACAAAAUUAUACAGGAGCAGAUUGAACAGCUUGCUACAGCGAAUUGUCGGAGCUAGAUUAAUAUCAAUUGAAGAAAAUGCGGAAUCUACCAAAAACAUUAAUCUGGCAUUGCAGCCGGGAAAAAUUCACGCUGCAGUACUAAAGGAAUUCUCCAAUCCUUUUGUUGUGGAACAUUUAGAGCCACCGAAAAGAGUACAGCAUAAUGAGGUUCUUAUUGAUGUUCAUUAUUGUUCUUUGAAUGCUUCUGAUGCACUUCUUAGCAAAAAUUCAUACAUAUUCGAACCUAAAUUACCAACAAUUCUGGGUUAUGAGGUUCUUGGAAAGUUGGUUGAGGUCGGUGCAGAAGCGGAAAGAAAAGGCUACAGAGUUGGCGACAAAGUCAUUGCUCUUAACAAAGAUCGUUAUGGAGGCUUGGCUGAGAGAUGCCUGGCUGAAGUUGGGGAUAUAUGGAAAGUACCUUCUGUAUUAAAAUCUAUUGAUGUUGUGAGUAUUUUAGACAACUAUAUCACUGCUCUGGUUGCGUUAGAAAGGAAAGUUAAUCUUGAUGAGAAUGAUAUGAUCUUAAUAAAUGUUGGCAUGAGUGGUAUUGGCCUAGCAGCGGUGGAUCUAGCUACAAAUGUCUUUAGAGCUAAGGUUAUCGGAGUCUGCGCUACAGAAGACGGAGCAGAUAUAGUCAGGGAAAAAGGAGCGUUUACAUCUCUUAAAUAUAAAAAUAAGAAGUUAUUGAAGCAAAUAGAAGAGAUCGCAGCUGAAAAGGACAUUAAAGCUAUCUUCGACGAUAUCGGCGGGGAAUAUUUCAAGAAAGUAUUGGGCUGUUUCACUGAUGUCUACAAUGAUGCAACGUUAAAAGACUUGCUACGCGAUGACAAUUUUGCGGUGGUGGUACAUCACCUUUCUCGUGAAGGGCGAGUGAUCGUAGCUGGCACAGCGAUGACCAUGACGGACGCCCAUUCUGAAGUGCAGAAAAGUUCCUUCAGCGUCAGCGGCUUCAAUCUUACGGAAUAUAGAAAGAAAAAGCCUGAUAUAUACCGUCAAGCCGGAGAUGAAGUUCUACAAUUUCUCGAGGAAGGACUUAUUACGUCGUCUUGUUCGCUUAUUGUUGGCCUACACAAGAUCAAUGACGCCUUGCAGUUUGUUUCUGAAAGUAAAUCUCCGGGGAAAGUUGUGAUCGAUAUUAGAAAUAAAGAGGCUGAUGUACUAAAAAUGAAGAAUUAAACAGAUCUGAGCUGCGAUUUUCAGGCGUAAUAUCUUUCAAAGGUAACGAAAGCACACUAUUGAGAGAAAUAUGCAGUGAUAUUUUAUAUUUAAAAAAAAAUUUCACUGACAAUCGUUCAGUUGUCAUUAUACAACUAGCGAUUAUGGAUCUGUUUGGUGAUUAUACAGUUAUAAAGUAUUGUGCUGAAAAUGUCAACAUACUAUUGUAAUCAAGAAAUACAACAUUUUAUGUAUAGUCGUACUAAUGGAAAUACUUUAACUACGUAACAUCUUUACGCGGAAAAAAUUUUCUAAUCGUAAAGUUCUCUCUCAUACAUUGUAUAAUA
RNA transcript from Odontomachus brunneus, 1717 nucleotides. It is a transcript of the gene named quinone oxidoreductase-like protein 2, with no coding region annotated. The transcript has 9 exons. Lineage: Eukaryota; Metazoa; Arthropoda; Insecta; Hymenoptera; Formicidae. The record is from RefSeq and is a predicted model, not a curated record.